GAGCUCUCUUUCUGGACUCCUACCGAUUGCUCUCAGACCUUUCAGGAAAGGAGCAAGCUAGCACCGGUACACAAUGUGGCUGGCCCAAGAGCCCUUAGCAAAACAGACUUCCUCUUUUUAGAAACCCAUUCCUAAUCCUGGAUCCAGUCACUCUCCUCAUCUCUGCUAGGCUCCCAUUUGAUAGGGGAACCUCCAGCUCUCUAAGGGCUCUUUACUAACCUGACGUCAACUGGCAUCAAAACCAUCAAUUAAAGACAUCAUCUGAAUUUCUUCCCUACACCAGGCCCCAGGCUGGGGGCUGAGGACACAGAGAUGACCCAGCACACAGCCUGUGAACCAAAUGGCCCACAGCUGUCGAAGUAAAGGACACCCAAUGUGCACUCAGUGUAAGAAGUUGAGUCUUGGGGGCUGGAGAGAUGGCUCAGUGACUAAGAGCACUGACUGCUCUUCCAGAGGUCCUGAGUUCAAUUCCCAGCAACCACAUGGUGGCUCACAACCAUCUGUGAUGAGAUCUGAUGCCCUCUUCUGGUGUGUCUGAAGACAGCUACAGUAUAUUCAUAUACAUAAACUAAAUAAUUCUAAAAAAAAAAAUCUUAAAAAAAAAAAAAA
RNAcentral lists this long non-coding RNA (609 nucleotides) under Rattus norvegicus (Norway rat). RNAcentral describes it as "long non-coding RNA NONRATT009522". Lineage: Eukaryota; Metazoa; Chordata; Mammalia; Rodentia; Muridae. The record is from RNAcentral.